This 30-nucleotide non-coding RNA is filed under the name Rattus norvegicus (Norway rat). The record is from RNAcentral. Lineage: Eukaryota; Metazoa; Chordata; Mammalia; Rodentia; Muridae.
GACCACGAGUCAUUGGUAGAGUCCCGUAGC